GACGACGCUGGCGGCGUGCCUAACACAUGCAAGUCGAGCGGAGUCGAUCGACGGAAGCCUUCGGGCGGAAGAUGGUUGACUUAGCGGCGGAUGGGUGAGUAACGCGUGGGCAACCUGCCUCGAAGACCGGGAUAACAGCCCGAAAGGGCUGCUAAUACCGGAUGUGGUCAAGGAUCCGCAUGGAUUUUUGAUUAAAGGGGAAACCCGUUUCGAGAUGGGCCCGCAUCCUAUCAGCUAGUUGGUGAGGUAAAAGCUCACCAAGGCGACGACGGGUAGCCGGCCUGAGAGGGUGACCGGCCACACUGGAACUGAGACACGGUCCAGACUCCUACGGGGGGCAGCAGUGGGGAAUCUUCCACAAUGGGCGAAAGCCUGAUGGAGCGACGCCGCGUGAGCGAAGAAGGCCUUCGGGUUGUAAAGCUCUGUCUGGAGGGACGAAGGAAGUGACGGUACCUCCGGAGGAAGCCACGGCUAACUACGUG
This 482-nucleotide ribosomal RNA is filed under the name uncultured bacterium. RNAcentral's name for it is "bacterial SSU rRNA". It matches the Rfam family "Bacterial small subunit ribosomal RNA", at positions 33 to 507 of the family's 1533-position model. The record is from RNAcentral.